UACGUAGGGACCGAGCGUUGUCCGGAUUCAUUGGGCGUAAAGAGCUCGUAGGCGGCUCAGUAAGUCAGGUGUGAAACCUCCAGGCUCAACCUGGAGACGCCACCUGAUACUGCUGUGGCUAGAGUCCGGUAGGGGAGCGUGGAAUUCCUGGUGUAGCGGUGAAAUGCGCAGAUAUCAGGAGGAACACCAGCGGCGAAGGCGGCGCUCUGGGCCGGAACUGACGCUGAGGAGCGAAAGCGUGGGUAGCAAACAGG
RNAcentral lists this ribosomal RNA (254 nucleotides) under uncultured bacterium. RNAcentral's name for it is "partial 16S ribosomal RNA". It matches the Rfam family "Bacterial small subunit ribosomal RNA", at positions 524 to 776 of the family's 1533-position model. The record is from RNAcentral.